GCUUGCUGAUUCUUUCUCCUGCUUUAACAAGUCUGCUGUUGAACCUCUCUAUGGAAUUUUUCAGUUCAGUUAAUCUUUUCUUCAGUUCCAGAAUUUCUGUUUGGUUCUUUUUUUCAUAGUUUCUGUCUCUUUGUUAAACUUCUUGUUUUAUUCAUGUAUUGCUUUCCUAAUAUCAGUUAGAAUUAUCAAUUGCUGCCACACAUGGUUUUGUUAAAACAUCUGACAAGUAUUUGUAUUAAAGAAGGUAGUUUAUAGUAUAUGAAAUGUAUCAUGACUUACAAAAUAGAACUUGUGCAUCCCUUAGCUGCCAGGAAAGGCUCAGUCCACCUGUGACCCAGAAUCAAAAUAACUAGAUAAAUAAUUAUCUUAUCUGUUUUUAUUAACCUUUCUUAAAUAUAUGUAGAGCUCAAUUUUAUUUAAAUAUUUAAUAUCAGAAGUGUUUUUGGAACACUUUAUUUAGAAGUUUGGUGAGGUUUUGUAUCCAGAAAUAUACCACAGGAACUUA
This 505-nucleotide long non-coding RNA is filed under the name Pan troglodytes (chimpanzee). RNAcentral's name for it is "long non-coding RNA NONPTRT001667". The record is from RNAcentral. Lineage: Eukaryota; Metazoa; Chordata; Mammalia; Primates; Hominidae.